This 77-nucleotide transfer RNA is filed under the name Stereum hirsutum FP-91666 SS1. It matches the Rfam family "tRNA", at positions 6 to 65 of the family's 71-position model. From Rfam's summary of the family: Transfer RNA (tRNA) molecules are approximately 80 nucleotides in length. Their secondary structure includes four short double-helical elements and three loops (D, anti-codon, and T loops). Further hydrogen bonds mediate the characteristic L-shaped molecular structure. tRNAs have two regions of fundamental functional importance: the anti-codon, which is responsible for specific mRNA codon recognition, and the 3' end, to which the tRNAs corresponding amino acid is attached (by aminoacyl-tRNA synthetases). tRNAs cope with the degeneracy of the genetic code in two manners: having more than one tRNA (with a specific anti-codon) for a particular amino acid; and 'wobble' base-pairing, i.e. permitting non-standard base-pairing at the 3rd anti-codon position. Lineage: Eukaryota; Fungi; Basidiomycota; Agaricomycetes; Russulales; Stereaceae. The record is from Rfam by way of RNAcentral.
GAUAGCUUAGCUGGUAGAGCGAUGCCACUCGUCCAAGCAGGGCCUAGGCGGCAUAAACGCUGGUUCGAACCCAGCUC